UUCUUCACAAAUCGAUCAAGUUCGUCAACACUGUACUCGACCGUAGUAAGAUGGUCACACUAACACUCCCGUAAAAACACUUUUAUCAGCACGAGCGACGUUAAAGCGACACCCUCGUUUUCGCGCCGAGGCGCGCGUUUGACGUGUAUCACGAACACGAGACGACAACAGAUACGUCUUACCGGUCUGAACUCGCGCUCGCGACUACCCAGAACGUCGACCGUAGUGACCACAGCGCCACGCGUGGAAGCCGACCGAAACGCACGAAAACGAAAUUUCGUCCCGUUCGUGUCGCGUUUUUCAACGAUAAACCGAUUGGAAUGGAGAUUUAUGUUCAAUUUCACGUAUUACAUUUUUUUUUUUUUUUUUACAAACUUAUCCACUAUGUCUAAUGCUUCAAAUAUAUGCGAGCUUGACAGCCGAAUCGAUGGGAAAAGAAUAAGUGAUAUAAUACAUUUAACGAACACAUGUCUUUGUCUCCGAGCAAUCGUCGUUAAUCUUUCUGGUUCUGUUUUCUUAUUUUAGAAGAAAAAAAAAAGUAAAAGAAAGGAAAAGGAAUAGACCGCUAGCGAUUUUUAUUUUAAACAUCGAUUAAUACCACGUAACCAAAUAUAAGGCAAAAGAAAAUGUAAUAAAUCCACCUGCGAUACGUCUCUUGUUGUUCUCGUUUCAAAUUAUUUCGCAUAAUGUUCUUUGUAAAAAUACGAGACGUUUAUCAUCAUUCAUCUUCCCCUCUCUAACUUCCUCCCUUUCUCUCACUCUUUUUCGCCCAUCGUUUCUUUCCUCUAUGGUCUUUUUUGCCCCAAAGUGUAAUCGAUUGUGUCUCUUAUUUACACAGUGCUAAACAAUUUAUUAUAAUUAUAGCCGGGUACUCUCUCUCUCUCUCUUUCUCACACACUCUCUCUCUUUCUCUCUCAUUCACUCUCAUACUCUGUCCUCCUUUAUCUUUCAUACACAUGUACAAAAUCCAAAACCGGGAGAACAGCUACGAUCGACGACGAACACCGCGUCUUUUGAGACAUUUUCUUUUUUGAAACGAACAAGGUGUGCUUCGUAGCUAUUCUUCAGGCCGAGUCACUCUUGCGUCCAAUACUAAUGGAUAUCUAAUUAUCUUAUGUAAAACUUUACAAGAUCCGCUAAAAUAUACAUUUACUGUGUAAUGUGUAGAAUCGCGCGGGUAAAAGUUACUAUCGCUAGCGCGAAGAAAAACUCGACAUAAAAAAGAAAAGAAAAGAAAUGGGAUUAGAAGAGGAUAGGUCAAACGAGGAGGGCUAUGAAUGAAUGAAUUUCUUUCCCAUGA
This 1300-nucleotide unclassified non-coding RNA is filed under the name Bombus terrestris (buff-tailed bumblebee). RNAcentral describes it as "misc RNA ENSBTSG00005036510.1". Lineage: Eukaryota; Metazoa; Arthropoda; Insecta; Hymenoptera; Apidae. The record is from RNAcentral.